Poecile atricapillus (Black-capped chickadee) is the source of this 3647-nucleotide long non-coding RNA. RefSeq lists it as uncharacterized. The transcript has 3 exons. NCBI's taxonomy places the organism in Eukaryota, Metazoa, Chordata, Aves, Passeriformes, Paridae. The record is from RefSeq and is a predicted model, not a curated record.
UUUCUAUGUCGUUUUUCUCAUGUAAUUUUGUAUUUGUGAAACAAUCUACUGUUGUGAAAGGGACAAUGCUUAAAAGAUGGGUGGGUUUUGCCUCUUAGCGUAUGUCUUAAAAUCAUUUGUUCAAACUCUUCGUAAGGGAAGAAACUUGUAGGAUCCCGCUCUUAUGAUUUGAGUUGUUAAACGCUCUCUAAAUGCCUCUUGUGUAUUGUGAAUGUUUUUCUGCCUUUGUUCCUCUACCGUUUUUCAGUUUUUUUGCUUUAUUCUGCAACGUUGUAUUUCCCCUCGCUCUUGUUUUUGGGAGGGCGCGUGGAAUUUACUUUGUUCCUGAAGGCGCAAAAACUCCUUUCCUGCCUUCCCUGGAAGCACUGGCGGUAGUUUUUCUCAGUGUUUUAUCAAUCCUGGUCGUGAGUGAUGUCCUGCGGACAUUUUCAGCCCAUCUCAAGCAUUACUAUUUAUAUCCGAGAUGCAUGUAUUUCUGAAGUUGGAGGGGAUGGUGUUUGUAUGGAAUGUAAGGUGGAGGUAAGGAAGUUUUCUCAUUCUGAGUCCCUUUUCCAAGUACUCUGCUCCUUGCUGAUGUCUUGUCUAGGACCACACGUGUGGCAUCUUUAGUUUUUAGAGAUUUUGGCUUGCAUAAAUUUUCUGUCAUUACUGAGGCUCUCAAAAAGAUUUGUUAAAGAUUUAUUUUUAAUAAGAAUUUGUGCUUGUUAAAGCACAGACCAAGUGCUUUCCAAUAAGUAUCUCUGCUUUAAAACGUGGCGUGUCCAGAAUAAUUUUUAAAUGGAGGCUCUUCCCUAUUCAUUGUGUUCUGAUUUUUGUGAACCUACCUGGAAAACGGAUUUCUCUCUGACUGUGAAUUCAGUCACACACACGCCCCUUUGCUCUCCUAGGAAAUAGAUCUGUUGUUGCCUGAGAAAUGUACUUUUCUAAAAUUAUUUCUGACUUUUUGGCACCUUUAUAUCCAUUAAUACUGCAGGUAGUUUUAUGUAAUUUAAGGAGCCUGCUGUUCCAUUAAAUUAUUGCAAGUUGUGUCCCUUUGGCUUUUCGAUGCUACAAACCUGUAAAAUCUUAAAGCUGUGGCUUUAAGAAGCGGUUGGAUUGAGUUAGACACAACCUUCAUUUAAACAAGGAAAUAAAGAGCCACUGAGAAAUGCCUAGAGGAAAUAUUUCUCCUGGAAAGCCUAAGAUUGGGAGUCUGAGAUAAAAGAAUGCUGCCACAUCAAAGCUGGAUGUGAGCAAGACCUCUGUGCUGACCAGCUGAGGAUUGCCUUGAGAGUUGCUAUUGGUUUCCAAUUUGUCUUUUUUUCAGUUCUCAGGUUACAGCUUGAGCUGGGUGGAUCUGCAGAGUGAGCACUACACCAAAAAUUAACCUUCAAUCCCAUUCAGGCUACCCAGCACUCAACUCCCAGGUUCAUCAGUAGCUUCUGGUCAGUUGUCUCUUUCUUUGGUUUUGUGGGGUUUUUGGGAUUUUUUUCAUCUGACAUUACCUCAAUUCUUGGAGUUGUUUCCUUGGUCCUUCCUUACCUUUUUCAUUCUGCUUUGGGCUAGUUGAACAUUAGCAACAUUAGCUUUUAAAAAAAACCUUUUAUUUUGGUCAGCUCUUGUGGCCUAAUGCUGUAAGCACUCCAGCCAUGAAUGCUAAACUACUUAAUAUAUCAUGAGAAUAUGGAGAAAACAGUUAAUGAAAAUGUCCUGUAUAAUACUGUGGAGUAACACAGGAUGGAAAGCUCUGUUGUCAGUUAAAUUGUUAUGGCAAUACCAGUUUUUAGUAAUAAAAACAACAAACUAAAGGAACAUUGAUAUAUAAAAACAAUGCAAACUGAGCUUGAAUUAAACCAGUUUGCACAUUAAAAAUGCAAGCCCAUCUGGCUGGGGGCCUCAGCCCCCAGUCUGUGAUGACUGAUAGGGUUCAGCAAAACAAAUCCUGCAGCUCCAGGGACAUUGGGGUGGUAAAAGCCAUGCCCCAACCUUGCUCACUCCACACUGGUUUCGUCUGUGCCACCUAUGGUGCCCUGCAUCACAGCCUAAAGAUGCUUUUAAGUUUGGCUCCAGAGACACUGGUGCCACCAAAGACCUGCUGAGGUGAGCGUGGCACUGCCCCAAUGUUGCUGUGAGAGUACACGUGACACAAAGCAGAUCUGUCAGAAACUUCAUCCAAGCCAUUAUUGUGCCCAUACGCAGCAUUUUUAUACCCUUCUGACCCCAUGGUGCACCCCAUUUAAUUUGCCAUCACCACACCACCCCUCAAGUCCAUUGGUGGCAGCGCUGUUUUGAGAAAGUAUCCCCAAAAAUCCAAAAUACAGAUAGAUUUUGUUUUUCCAUGGUGUUUUUCUCAGCACAGAUGUUCCUUGUUUUCCUCUACCUUUAUCUUCUUUUUCUUCUUCUCACAGACACACAAGAAUCCUGCUGGCUUCUUCUUUCUGUUAACUCUCUCAUCUGCCCCUCAUCCUGCUGUGGGCUCUCUCCACACCCCAACACUUCUUCCUCCUCACCUUUCUCAUCUGGGUCACCUGUGAUGCUUUCACAAGUUUACAUGUAUUGACAAUGUUCAGUUCCAUAUCUGUUUCCCAGUCCUUCAUGUUCUUUUCCCUUAAGCAUUGUGAGGUUUUGCUACUCCAUUAACGUGAAGAUGCUUUUUUAAUGGGUUUGAUCACUUUGUCUUUACACAUCAGCCAAGUCUGUACUCUGUGGUGCUGUCCUCUGUUCUCAUGUGGAGGAUAAUGUAGUUGAGAUAUUAAUAUACCCAAUUAUAUAUCGUCUGUGUCCUUAUUGCUUCUCUCUCCACAUUUUAUUCUUGCUCAUCACAAUCUGUUUCUGCAGAUCUUCCAUUUCACUGCAUGCUAUCCCCAUGCCAUGAAUACUUGAUGUAUUUAUGAGUAUCCUCUUUCUCUCUGCCCAUGGAUUUUUAUUUUUAUGCUAUUCCAAGCACAGCACUUAUCCAUCAAGAUAGAUCUUUAAUGCUAUACAAAACUUUGGCCUGUAAGAGCUUCAACUUGUGAUGCCAUCAAUAGGAAAGUAAUUGAUCCAGAGGGCACAUGAUAUACUUUCCAGUAAGUGUUCCAUAUGAUCCCAUUGAUUUGAGGGCAGUAUGCCAAUGUUGUAAUGAAAACAAGGACCUAGAGCCUAAGGCAUGAUGUAAGAAGCAUGACAAAAAAAAACCAAACAAAACCAAACACAAAAAACCAAAAACAAAUAAACAAAACAAACAAACAAGAAGUGUUUCUGAGACAUAGCUUUUCAGGAACAGCCAAAAGUCAAACAUAAAUCUUUGUGUGUUUUAGAUGUCAAUUCAGUGUGCUGAGGUCUGAAUGUUUCCUGAGUUAAUUCAGACUACUGCUAAUAUAUGAAAAACAGGUAAGAUCUCCACUGCACCAAUGCAAUGAUAAAUAGCACUUGAGAAUUUCUGAAUGCUUUGCUGCAGUCAACUAGCUCUGUAAAAAUCAUUAUCACACUGAGAUUGAAGACUUCUAAAUAACAAACAGGGCCAGCUGCAAUUCAAGUUAGUUACUUUUUCAAAUAGAAAAUUAAGAAAAGUUUUCUUCCCCUCAUUUUUCCUAAAUUAAGUGUGAUGUUGUUUGCUAAAAUUGAAUGUUAUUUUCCUUAUUUGGGCCACUUUUGAUCUUCCCAUCAGUUCUCCCAGGCAGACUCAU